This 208-nucleotide long non-coding RNA is filed under the name Elaeis guineensis (African oil palm). Its description in RNAcentral is "long non-coding RNA (EGUI_LNC049357)". The record is from RNAcentral. Lineage: Eukaryota; Viridiplantae; Streptophyta; Magnoliopsida; Arecales; Arecaceae.
UUAUUUAUUUAUAAUUCAUGCACUAAUACAAAAGGAGCACAACCGUCAACAGGCUGACGAUUGGCUUUGGGACACUAUUUCCAACAGUUGCCUGCCUUCAGAGGAAGUUGUCUGAGAGAGUCCAGUCCGCCUCUGCACAAGGCUCCGACGAGCUCCGCUUCUUGAGGGAGACCAUGAAAGAACUGUCUGUGGCCCUUAGGCGGGAGAA